RNAcentral lists this long non-coding RNA (1146 nucleotides) under Meleagris gallopavo (turkey). Its description in RNAcentral is "lncRNA (ENSMGAG00000020905.1)". Lineage: Eukaryota; Metazoa; Chordata; Aves; Galliformes; Phasianidae. The record is from RNAcentral.
UCGCGGCAGCGGUGCGGCACUACACGGGCAGCCAUCGCCCUGGACGCCCGCAACCACGUCCUGUACAGCAACCGUUCGGCCGCCUACGCCAAGCAGGGCGACUACAGCCGUGCCCUGGCCGACGCCUGCCGCACCAUCGAGCUGCGUCCCGACUGGGCCAAGGGAGCCGCUUUGGCAGGGGGUUGGGCUCGAAGAUCUCUGCAGGUCCCUUCCAGCCCCUGCGAUCCCGCGGGCUCUGAUGUCACCGGGGCGCUGCGUGAAGUGGUCGUGAGGUGACGAGGUUGGUUUUUAGAAUCACAAGGUUGGGAAGGACUUGGAAAACCCUCCAGUCCAGCCGUCCUCCCAUCACCGCUGCAACCAGCAGCUCUUGCAGCUCCUCAGCCGGACGCCUCUUGAAACGGCGACUCCGCCGCCUCCCUGGGCAGCCGUUCAGCGCCUGACCACCUUAUGUCUAAUUAAACUUCUCCCGUGACGAUUUGUGGCCGUUGCCUGGGACAAGAGGCCAAACCCCUCCUCAUCGCAGCCUCCCUGUAGGCUGUGAUGAGAAUGGGGGAGGCAGGGGGGAGAGGGGAAAAUGAGAUGAGAAAGCUGUAGGGUGCAACGAGGUCUCCCCUGAGCCUCCUUUUCUCCGGUCUGAACAAUCCCAGCUCCCUCAGCCGCUCCUCAUAAGACCCCGUUGUGCUCCAGACCCCUCACCGGUUUCAUUGCCCUUCUCUGGACCUUCCCAGUGGAGCUGCCUGCUGGUUUUUGGGCUCCUCGUGACGCGGUGCUGACGUCACCGUGCCGUGGUCGCGAUGUCACUGUCGUGCUUUGCCGUCACCUGCCUGCGUUGCUGGGCUCUCUGAAACACUUUGGAGGUGUUUGGGGCCCCGCUGCCGUGUCACCGCUGCCGUGUCAGCAUCACGCAGGGCUGUGCGUCGUGGGCUGAGCCUGACGCCAACCUCACCGCAGCACCCAGCGCUGGUUUGUGUCACCGUGGUGCUUGGUGGAGCUCCCGAAGCUCUGCGGUGACUUUGGGGACGUGUGACACCUCCGUGACGUCGCCACGAUGGCUCUGAUGGUGACGUCGCCACGGCUGCGUUGCGGUGGUGACAUCACUGUGACGUCACGGCCCUGUCCCUGCGUGGGGCUGCUCAAAUCAAGCUG